GGAUGCGGCCAUACCAGCACUAAAGCACCGAAUCCCAUCAGAACUCCGAAGUUAAGCGUGCUUGGGCGAGAGUAGUACUAGGAUGNUAGUGUAUAUAGGGCAUUAUCCA
Molecule: ribosomal RNA, 109 nt
Filed under: Aegilops tauschii subsp. strangulata
Lineage: Eukaryota; Viridiplantae; Streptophyta; Magnoliopsida; Poales; Poaceae
Source: RNAcentral